RNAcentral lists this long non-coding RNA (1409 nucleotides) under Ananas comosus (pineapple). Its description in RNAcentral is "long non-coding RNA (ACOM_LNC032839)". The record is from RNAcentral. Lineage: Eukaryota; Viridiplantae; Streptophyta; Magnoliopsida; Poales; Bromeliaceae.
CUCUAUUCUGUCUCUUUUUUUUUUUUUUGCAAUGUUAUCUGUACAUUCAAAAAUAAUAUAAAUUUGACACUUUAUUUAUUUACAAACCAAUAUUUUUUAUUUUAAAAUUUUAAAAAAGUGUCAAACUCUUCAAUGCUUAUUCGUGGCAAUAACCUAAGGCCCCGUUUGGUUCGAGGGAUAAGCGGAGAUAACGAAAGUUAUCCCUGCUAUUCCGCCAAACUGGGUGAAAUUUGGCCGGGAUAUUUUAUCCCAGUCAAACCUUGAUAUUCCCGGUUAUUCCGGAAUAGCAAGGGAUUUGCUAUUCCACAAUUUUGGUGGAAUAUCACUAUUCCAAUGCUUAAUUUCAAACUUAAUUAAAAUUAUAAAUUGAAUUAAAACUAAAUUAAAUAAAUAUAAUAUGUUAUAUAUUAUAAUACAUUAUUUUUAUUAUAAAAUUAUUAAUUGUACUAUAUUAAUACAUAUUAUUUAUAUUUAAAUAUUAUAAUAAAUUUUUUAAUAAAUUAUAUUUAAAUAUUAUAAUAAAUUUUUUAAUAAAUUAUAUUUAAAUAUUAUAAUAAAUUCUUUUUAUUAAAUUUNAAAAAAAUUAUAAAUUUAUUAUAAUAAAUUAUUUUUAUUAAUUGUUGACACCCUUAUUCAUUACUUUUUAUUUAUAAAACCCAUUAUCUUUCUUAUUCCAUCUUACAUAAUCAAACGCUAUUUUUUUAUUCUCAGAAAUAACCCAAUUUUAAUCCAAACGUAAAAUUGAUCUAAUUCCCGCUUAUACCUCAAUUUAUACCUAUUCCUGAAAUAGCCACUUUUUACUUAUAAUAUAUAACAUAUUAUAUUUAUAUAAUUUAAUUUUAAUUCAAUUUAUAAUUUUAAUUAAGUUUGAAAUUAAGCAUUGGAAUAGUACUAUACCACCAAAAUGGUGGAAUAGUAAAUUCCUUGCUAUUCUGGGAUAACUGGGAAUAGCAAAGUUUGGCCGGGAUAAAAUAUCCCGAUAAAACAUCAUACCGUUUGGCGGACAUUAUCCCGUUUGGCGGAAUAGCGGGGAUAACUUUCGUUAUCCCCGCUUAAAAAGUUAGAUAUAAAAUUUGUACCUCACAUUUUAGUGUGUAAGCAGUAUUUCUCUUUCUCUCGCUCUCCCUCUUUCCCCUCAGAUGCUUCUAUUAGUUUUCACUAGUCUUGCUUGGCUCAAUUCCUUUUAAUGAUGGUGAUGGAUGUAUUGUUAGUAUACGGACGAAAUUUUAGUGGGGAGCUUUCAAUGAUACCGCAUUGAGAAGAUUUGGAUCUGCUGUCAUAUAUCAGUUUUAUCUUUUAAUUUUAUUCAAAAUUUAAAAAUAUCUUUUUGAAUUUUAGGAUAAAGACAUAGCUAGUAUUGGGGGAAUAAAUUUUAUAUUUUAUAAAAAUAAAAUAUAUUUUUUUGGAUA